GUUUGUUUGGAGUUAUAAAAAAUUUAACCUGCCCCCUGAUUAAUUAUUUAAAGGGCCGCAGUAUUAUAACUGUGCAAAGGUAGCAUAAUCAUUAGGUUUUUAAUUGAAAUCUCGUAUGAAUGGUUGGACAAAAGAAGAACUCUCUUUAUGUUAAGUUUUGAAUUUAACUUUUAAGUGAAAAGGCUUAAAUAUUCUAAAGGGACGAUAAGACCCUAUAAAACUUUACAUUGUUAUUAAUUUUGAUUGAAUUUAUGAAAUAAGAAUUUUAUUUGAUUAUUUGUUAUGUUGGGGAGACAUAAGUAAAAAUUUUUUAACUGCUUUGACAAUUAUACAAUUAUUAGUGAAUAAGUAAAAGAUCCUUUUUUAAGAUUAGUAGAUUAAGUUACUUUAGGGAUAACAGUGUAAUUUCUUUUGAGAGUUCUUAUCGAAAAAGAAGAUUGCGACCUCGAUGUUGAAUUAAAAUAUCUAUAUAGUGGAGAAAUUAUAUGAGAAGGUCUGUUCGACCUUGAAAAUUUUACAUGAUUUGAGUUCAAACCGGUGUAAG
Molecule: ribosomal RNA, 544 nt
Filed under: Longpotamon shensiense
Lineage: Eukaryota; Metazoa; Arthropoda; Malacostraca; Decapoda; Potamidae
Description: partial 16S ribosomal RNA
Rfam family: Bacterial large subunit ribosomal RNA
Source: RNAcentral